RNAcentral lists this ribosomal RNA (485 nucleotides) under uncultured bacterium. RNAcentral describes it as "partial 16S ribosomal RNA". It matches the Rfam family "Bacterial small subunit ribosomal RNA", at positions 30 to 507 of the family's 1533-position model. The record is from RNAcentral.
AUUGAACGCUGGCGGCAGGCUUAACACAUGCAAGUCGAGCGGGGAAAGGUAGCUUGCUACCUGACCUAGCGGCGGACGGGUGAGUAAUGCUUAGGAAUCUGCCUAUUAGUGGGGGACAACAUCUCGAAAGGGAUGCUAAUACCGCAUACGUCCUACGGGAGAAAGCCGGGGACCUUCGGGCCUUGCGCUAAUAGAUGAGCCUAAGUCGGAUUAGCUAGUUGGUGGGGUAAAGGCCUACCAAGGCGACGAUCUGUAGCGGGUCUGAGAGGAUGAUCCGCCACACUGGGACUGAGACACGGCCCAGACUCCUACGGGAGGCAGCAGUGGGGAAUAUUGGACAAUGGGGGGAACCCUGAUCCAGCCAUGCCGCGUGUGUGAAGAAGGCCUUUUGGUUGUAAAGCACGUUAAGCGAGGAGGAGGCUACCGAGAUUAAUACUCUUGGAUAGUGGACGUUACUCGCAGAAUAAGCACCGGCUAACUCUGUG